Molecule: ribosomal RNA, 406 nt
Filed under: uncultured bacterium
Lineage: Bacteria
Description: partial 16S ribosomal RNA
Rfam family: Bacterial small subunit ribosomal RNA
Source: RNAcentral
AUUGAACGCUGGCGGCAGGCCUAACACAUGCAAGUCGAACGAGUGGCGGACGGGUGCGUAAUGUCUGGGAAACUGCCUGAUGGAGGGGGAUAACUACUGGAAACGGUAGCUAAUACCGCAUACCAUCAGAUGUGCCCAGAUGGGAUUAUCUAGUUGGUGGGGUAACGGCUCACCAAGGCGACGAUCCCUAGCUGGUAUGAGAGGAUGACCAGACACACUGGAACUGAGACACGGGCCAUACGCCUACGGGAGGAAGCAGUGGGGAAUAUUGCACAAGGGGCGCAAGCCUGAUGCAGCCAUGCCGCGUGUAGGAAGAAGGCCUUCGGGUUGUAAAGUACUUUCAGCGGGGAGGCGUUACCCGCAGAAGAAGCACCGGCUAACUCCGUGCCAGGCGCCGCGGUAAUUC